GUCCCUGUAGAGCAGUGGAUAGCACGUUGUACUUCUAAUCCAAAGGUACCGGGUUCGAAUCCCGGUUGAGAUG
RNAcentral lists this transfer RNA (73 nucleotides) under Araneus ventricosus. It matches the Rfam family "tRNA". Rfam says of the family: Transfer RNA (tRNA) molecules are approximately 80 nucleotides in length. Their secondary structure includes four short double-helical elements and three loops (D, anti-codon, and T loops). Further hydrogen bonds mediate the characteristic L-shaped molecular structure. tRNAs have two regions of fundamental functional importance: the anti-codon, which is responsible for specific mRNA codon recognition, and the 3' end, to which the tRNAs corresponding amino acid is attached (by aminoacyl-tRNA synthetases). tRNAs cope with the degeneracy of the genetic code in two manners: having more than one tRNA (with a specific anti-codon) for a particular amino acid; and 'wobble' base-pairing, i.e. permitting non-standard base-pairing at the 3rd anti-codon position. Lineage: Eukaryota; Metazoa; Arthropoda; Arachnida; Araneae; Araneidae. The record is from Rfam by way of RNAcentral.